Molecule: ribosomal RNA, 253 nt
Filed under: uncultured bacterium
Lineage: Bacteria
Description: partial 16S ribosomal RNA
Rfam family: Bacterial small subunit ribosomal RNA
Source: RNAcentral
UACGUAGGGGGCUAGCGUUGUCCGGAAUCAUUGGGCGUAAAGAGCGUGUAGGCGGUCCGGUAAGUCCGCUGUGAAAGUCGGGGGCUCAACCCUCGAAUGCCGGUGGAUACUGUCGGGCUAAAGUGCGGAAGAGGCGAGUGGAAUUCCUGGUGUAGCGGUGAAAUGCGCAGAUAUCAGGAGGAACACCUAUUGCGAAGGCAGCUCGCUGGGACGUAACUGACGCUGAGACGCGAAAGCGUGGGGAGCAAACAGG